AUAGAGCUGGCGGCGGCCUAAAAAUGCUCCCGGUGAGGAGAAAAGGGUAUUGCUCUUCCCCUCAGCGGAGGAAAGGUGAGUAAUGCCUAGGAAUCUGCCUAGUAGUGGGGGAUUUCCCCCCGAAAGGAACGCUAAUACCGCAUACGUCCUACGGGAGAAAGUGGGGGAUCUUCGGACCUCACGCUAUUAGAUGAGCCUAGGUCGGAUUAGCUAGUUGGUAGGGUAACGGCCUACCAAGGCGACGAUCCGUAACUGGUCUGAGAGGAUGAUCAGUCACACUGGAACUGAGACACGGUCCAGACUCCUACGGGAGGGAGCAGUGGGGAAUAUUGGACAAUGGGCGAAAGCCUGAUCCAGCCAUGCCGCGUGUGUGAAGAAGGCCCUCGGGUCGUAAAGCACUUUAAGUUGGGAGGAAGGGCUUAAAGCGAAUACUUGUGAGUUUUGAUGUUAAAGACAGAAUAAGCAAGGCUAAUUUUGUGAAAGCAGCCGGGGUAAUAGGAAGGGUGGGAGCGUUAAUUGGAAUUAAUGGGAGUAAAGUGCGCGUAGGUGGGUUGAUAAGUUGGAUGUGAAAAUUUGAGGGUUAAACUUGGGAAAUGUAUUCAAAAUGUUUGGGUAAAUUGGGGUAAAGGGUAAUGGAAAUUUUAAGUGUAUCGGUGAAAUGGGUUAAAUUUUGUAAAGGGAAAUGAAUGGGGAAGG
Molecule: ribosomal RNA, 696 nt
Filed under: Pseudomonas sp. CAC03
Lineage: Bacteria; Pseudomonadati; Pseudomonadota; Gammaproteobacteria; Pseudomonadales; Pseudomonadaceae
Description: bacterial SSU rRNA
Rfam family: Bacterial small subunit ribosomal RNA
Source: RNAcentral